GGUAGCAGACAAGCAUUUGACUGCUAUUAAAGUGGCUAAGGCCAUGAACAUGGAUGGACCUGCGGUGCAUUAGCUAGUUGGUGAGGUAACGGCCCACCAAGGCGACGAUGCAUAGCCGGCCUGAGAGGGCGGACGGCCACAUUGGAACUGAGACACGGUCCAAACUCCUACGGGAGGCAGCAUG
RNAcentral lists this ribosomal RNA (184 nucleotides) under uncultured bacterium. Its description in RNAcentral is "partial 16S ribosomal RNA". It matches the Rfam family "Bacterial small subunit ribosomal RNA", at positions 173 to 353 of the family's 1533-position model. The record is from RNAcentral.